Molecule: ribosomal RNA, 263 nt
Filed under: uncultured bacterium
Lineage: Bacteria
Description: partial 16S ribosomal RNA
Rfam family: Bacterial small subunit ribosomal RNA
Source: RNAcentral
UACAACGAGUCGCAAGACUGCGAGGUUUAGCAAAUCUCUUAAAGCCGUUCUCAGUUCGGAUUGUAGGCUGCAACUCGCCUACAUGAAGUCGGAAUCGCUAGUAAUCGCGGAUCAGAAUGCCGCGGUGAAUACGUUCCCGGGUCUUGUACACACCGCCCGUCACACCAUGGGAGUUGGAAAUGCCCGAAGUCAGUGGCCCAACCGCAAGGAGGGAGCUGCCGAAGGCAGGUUCGAUGACUGGGGUGAAGUCGUAACAAGGUACC